GCGGCGCCGGCAAGGCUGGCGGACCUGAAGGCGAUGCUCAAGCCGUCGCUGGCCAAGACCUCCCGCUGGCGCGAGGCGUUCGAGACGACCGUGCUGCGC
This 99-nucleotide transfer RNA is filed under the name compost metagenome. RNAcentral describes it as "tRNA-Leu". The record is from RNAcentral.